UUUCCGUGGGGGACCUGCGGAGGGAUCAUUCAGGCUGGAGAUACCUCUCUACCUUUGUGACUAUUAUACCUGUUGCUUCGGCGGCGCCCGCGAGGGUGCCCGCCGGUCUCAUCAGAAUCUCUGUUUUCGAACCCGACGAUACUUCUGAGUGUUCUUAGCGAACUGUCAAAACUUUUAACAACGGAUCUCUUGGCUCCAGCAUCGAUGAAGAACGCAGCGAAACGCGAUAUGUAAUGUGAAUUGCAGAAUUCAGUGAAUCAUCGAAUCUUUGAACGCACAUGGCGCCUUCCAGUAUCCUGGGAGGCAUGCCUGUCCGAGCGUCGUUUCAACCCUCGAGCCCCCGUGGCCCGGCGUUGGGGAUCUGCCACGGCAGGCCCCUAAAACCAGUGGCGGACCCGAAGGCCCUCUCCUUUGCGCAGUAGCAUCAGCCUCGCAUUGGGAUCCCUCGGCGUCCUGCCUCUAAACCCCCCACAAGUCCGCUCCGGCGGCACCAAGGUUGACCUCGGAUCAGGUAGGAAUACCCGCUGAACUUAAGCAUAUCAUAAGGGGGAGGGAA
This 556-nucleotide ribosomal RNA is filed under the name Plectosphaerella cucumerina. Its description in RNAcentral is "eukaryotic LSU rRNA". The stretch from base 170 to 323 matches the Rfam family "5.8S ribosomal RNA". Lineage: Eukaryota; Fungi; Ascomycota; Sordariomycetes; Glomerellales; Plectosphaerellaceae. The record is from RNAcentral.